This 468-nucleotide ribosomal RNA is filed under the name uncultured bacterium. Its description in RNAcentral is "partial 16S ribosomal RNA". It matches the Rfam family "Bacterial small subunit ribosomal RNA", at positions 28 to 507 of the family's 1533-position model. The record is from RNAcentral.
GACGAACGCUGGCGGCGUGCUUAACACAUGCAAGUCGAACGGAAAGGCCCUGCUUUUGUGGGGUGCUCGAGUGGCGAACGGGUGAGUAACACGUGAGUAACCUGCCCUUGACUUUGGGAUAACUUCAGGAAACUGGGGCUAAUACCGGAUAGGAGCUCCUGCUGCAUGGUGGGGGUUGGAAAGUUUGGGCGGUUGGGGAUGGACUCGCGGCUUGUCAGCUUGUUGGUGGGGUAGUGGCUUACCAAGGCUUUGACGGGUAGCCGGCCUGAGGGGGUGACCGGCCACAUUGGGACUGAGAUACGGCCCAGACUCCUACGGGAGGCAGCAGUGGGGAAUAUUGCACAAUGGGCGGAAGCCUGAUGCAGCAACGCCGCGUGCGGGAUGACGGCCUUCGGGUUUUAAACCGCUUUCGCCUGUGACGAAGCGUGAGUGACGGUAAUGGGUAAAGAAGCACCGGCUAACUACGUG